AUACGGAGGGUGCGAGCGUUAAUCGGAAUUACUGGGCGUAAAGCGUACGCAGGCGGUUGAUUAAGCGAGAUGUGAAAUCCCUGGGCUCAACCCAGGAACUGCAUUUCGAACUGGUCAACUAGAGUAUGAGAGAGGGUGGUAGAAUUUCAGGUGUAGCGGUGAAAUGCGUAGAGAUCUGGAGGAACAUCAAUGGCGAAGGCAACUCCCUGGCCAAAGACUGACGCUCAUGUGCGAAAGUGUGGGUAGCGAACAGGAUUAGAUACCCUGGUAGUCCACACCGUAAACGCUGUCUACUAGCUGUUUGUGGAUUUAAUCCGUGAGUAGCGAAGCUAACGCGAUAAGUAGACCGCCUGGGGAGUACGGCCGCAAGGUUAAAACUCAAAUGAAUUGACGGGGGCCCGCACAAGCGGUGGAGCAUGUGGUUUAAUUCGAUGCAACGCGAAGAACCUUACCUACUCUUGACAUACUAGAAACUUUUCAGAGAUGAAUUGGUGCCUUCGGGAAUCUAGA
Molecule: ribosomal RNA, 510 nt
Filed under: uncultured Glaciecola sp.
Lineage: Bacteria; Pseudomonadati; Pseudomonadota; Gammaproteobacteria; Alteromonadales; Alteromonadaceae
Description: bacterial SSU rRNA
Rfam family: Bacterial small subunit ribosomal RNA
Source: RNAcentral